Molecule: transfer RNA, 69 nt
Filed under: Garra qiaojiensis
Lineage: Eukaryota; Metazoa; Chordata; Actinopteri; Cypriniformes; Cyprinidae
Description: tRNA-His
Rfam family: tRNA
About the family: Transfer RNA (tRNA) molecules are approximately 80 nucleotides in length. Their secondary structure includes four short double-helical elements and three loops (D, anti-codon, and T loops).
Source: RNAcentral
GUAAAUAUAGUUUAAUAAAAAUAUUAGAUUGUGAUUUUAAAGACAGGGGUUAAAAUCCCCUUAUUCACC